Equus asinus (donkey) is the source of this 1867-nucleotide long non-coding RNA. The record is from Ensembl. NCBI's taxonomy places the organism in Eukaryota, Metazoa, Chordata, Mammalia, Perissodactyla, Equidae.
UGAAAGUGUUCUGUAGUUAGAUAGUGGUGAUGGUCGCACCACACUGUGAAUGUACUAAAAGCCCCUGGAUUGUACACUUUAAAAUGGUUAAAAUGGUGAAUUUGUGUUGUGUGAAUUUUGCUUCAAUUUUUUUUUAAACUCCAUUAAUCUGUUUUUUUAAAUUUCUGCAGGGGCAGCAUCUGGUCAGGGCUCCUUUGUCAGAACAAUGUGGUUGAGGUUAGGAAAGUAAACUAAAUACCUGCUCACAGCGGGGAGGGGAAAUGUUCUGAAUCGACUCAGAAACACAGUGGAUCCAGUGGGAGUUCAACACAGAUGAGUCCCUUCCCUGUUGGCUGGCGUCUGCAUCUGGGAGCCCCUGACCACUGCAGCAGCAAGGAGCACCCACGCCUCACUGGCCCACAGCCAGGGUCACAGCCACUGACAACGCCAGUCUGGGACAACCGUCUUCCAGAGAUGGACAAGAACCCACUGCGUGGUGUGUCUGCCCUGCCCAGCGUCUCCUCCAGCGGUGCCUGGAAGGUGGACAGCCCCACGUGGGAAUGCCCCAGCUUAUUAGUUACCUACACUGGGUAACAAACACAAGCCUAGCAGCCUUGAGCAACACUGAUUUAUUAUCACACACUCCUGCAGCUCUGCAGUCCUAAGGGCACGGCUGGGCUCUCACAGGCUAAGUGAGGUGUCGGCCACACCGUGCUUUAUCUGGAGGCUCUGGGCAAGGCCCACUUCCAGGCUCAUUCAGGCUGUUGGCAGAAUUCAGUUCCCAGUGGCUGUAGGACUGAGGUCCCCAUUUCCCUGUUGGCCAUCAGCUAAGGACUGUCCUUAGCUCUGGAGGGCGUUCUCAGUCCUUACUCAUGACCACUCCACCCCAAGGUCAGGGAUGUAGAGCCUGCCCGUCGCCUGUGAGUCUCGUGACGGCGCCCCAGCUUGAGACUGUUCUCUGUGUGAAAGGGCCCACGUGGUGAGGUUAGGCCUGCCUGGAAGGCCUCCAGAUUACAAUCCAGCGCUGGUGACCUGGUCCCAUCCGCGUGUGUGAACCCUCCUGCCAUCCACUGUGCCAUCAAUCGCAGGGCUACUCAAGGCCUUGGGUUUUAGGUGGGAAAUCUUGGGGGGCAUCUUUGAAUUCUGCCUCCCACAGCCUGUGGUAAGAAAUAGUGUAAGCUCAAAAGUCAAGUUCUCAUUUCCAGCACCCCCAACCUCCGUUUACACACAAUUUCUGGGCCUGGUGAUUACGCUAAUAAUAAUAAUAACUAUGACAGCCAGUGCUUGGUGCCAGGCCCUCUGCUCAGCACCCAACAAAGUAGCCUCAUUCAAGACUCACAACCCUCUAUAAAGCCGACUCUGUCACUGAUCCCAUUCUGCAGAGGAGAAAACGGAGGCUCAGAGAGGUUAGGGAAUGUACCCCAAGUGACACAGGCAACAUGCAUGCCAGCUGCAAAGAGGUGGGGCCAGAGCUGGCGGCUGUGCUUCCACCUCAGGAACGGAGCAGUCGUGGCUAGUUUCCCCUCUAAGUGGGCACUGAGCGCCUGGGUAGAGUUCCAGACUCCUGACCCCACGCUGUGACCCACCAUCACCCCCUCUGUGCUCAGCUCAGCUCCACCUUAGUGCUCCGUCCUGUCCUCCUCCUGUCAAGGUGUCUGAAGCCCACUGGCCUAUAAUUAAAUAUCACAGGGCUUUAAAUUGUUUAUCAUUUGCUGUUGACUCAUUCCGCCAAGGAUUUGAUAGAGCACACCAGUACACAAAAAUGGUGGAAAUGUGAAUAAAUGUUCUCAACUCAAGACCGUGGGAGAGCCAGGAUAGCAUGGAAACUGAAGGCAGGUCAGCCGUCCGUGCUCCAAUGUCCAACCCAGUUCCUAAAGCUGAACGUAAA